AUUUUUUGCUAGGGGUGCCUUUUGGCUGAGAGGAAUUGAUAUUCUAACUCUAAGAACCUGACGUGGUUAGUACCACCGUAGGGAAGCAGAUUUAUCAGUGU
This 101-nucleotide non-coding RNA is filed under the name Clostridium intestinale. RNAcentral's name for it is "TPP sequence". It matches the Rfam family "TPP riboswitch aptamer (THI element)". Rfam says of the family: Vitamin B(1) in its active form thiamin pyrophosphate (TPP) is an essential coenzyme that is synthesised by coupling of pyrimidine and thiazole moieties in bacteria. The previously detected thiamin-regulatory element, thi box was extended, resulting in a new, highly conserved RNA secondary structure, the THI element, which is widely distributed in eubacteria and also occurs in some archaea. The record is from RNAcentral. Lineage: Bacteria; Bacillati; Bacillota; Clostridia; Eubacteriales; Clostridiaceae. RNAcentral also lists the same sequence under 1 other name.